RNAcentral lists this ribosomal RNA (150 nucleotides) under Ptyas nigromarginata. Its description in RNAcentral is "partial 16S ribosomal RNA". The record is from RNAcentral. Lineage: Eukaryota; Metazoa; Chordata; Lepidosauria; Squamata; Colubridae.
GCUAAAACUCAGACUUACACGAACAUACAAAUUUUAGCCAAACAAAACAUUUGACCUACCCAGUAGAUGCGAUCGAACAGUAAAUAAACCAUAUAGUACCGCAAGGGAAACAAUUUAAGCAAUAAACAGCAAAGACUAACCCUUGUACCU